This 1542-nucleotide ribosomal RNA is filed under the name Escherichia coli. RNAcentral describes it as "bacterial SSU rRNA". It matches the Rfam family "Bacterial small subunit ribosomal RNA". Lineage: Bacteria; Pseudomonadati; Pseudomonadota; Gammaproteobacteria; Enterobacterales; Enterobacteriaceae. The record is from RNAcentral.
AAAUUGAAGAGUUUGAUCAUGGCUCAGAUUGAACGCUGGCGGCAGGCCUAACACAUGCAAGUCGAACGGUAACAGGAAGAAGCUUGCUUCUUUGCUGACGAGUGGCGGACGGGUGAGUAAUGUCUGGGAAACUGCCUGAUGGAGGGGGAUAACUACUGGAAACGGUAGCUAAUACCGCAUAACGUCGCAAGACCAAAGAGGGGGACCUUCGGGCCUCUUGCCAUCGGAUGUGCCCAGAUGGGAUUAGCUAGUAGGUGGGGUAACGGCUCACCAAGGCGACGAUCCCUAGCUGGUCUGAGAGGAUGACCAGCCACACUGGAACUGAGACACGGUCCAGACUCCUACGGGAGGCAGCAGUGGGGAAUAUUGCACAAUGGGCGCAAGCCUGAUGCAGCCAUGCCGCGUGUAUGAAGAAGGCCUUCGGGUUGUAAAGUACUUUCAGCGGGGAGGAAGGGAGUAAAGUUAAUACCUUUGCUCAUUGACGUUACCCGCAGAAGAAGCACCGGCUAACUCCGUGCCAGCAGCCGCGGUAAUACGGAGGGUGCAAGCGUUAAUCGGAAUUACUGGGCGUAAAGCGCACGCAGGCGGUUUGUUAAGUCAGAUGUGAAAUCCCCGGGCUCAACCUGGGAACUGCAUCUGAUACUGGCAAGCUUGAGUCUCGUAGAGGGGGGUAGAAUUCCAGGUGUAGCGGUGAAAUGCGUAGAGAUCUGGAGGAAUACCGGUGGCGAAGGCGGCCCCCUGGACGAAGACUGACGCUCAGGUGCGAAAGCGUGGGGAGCAAACAGGAUUAGAUACCCUGGUAGUCCACGCCGUAAACGAUGUCGACUUGGAGGUUGUGCCCUUGAGGCGUGGCUUCCGGAGCUAACGCGUUAAGUCGACCGCCUGGGGAGUACGGCCGCAAGGUUAAAACUCAAAUGAAUUGACGGGGGCCCGCACAAGCGGUGGAGCAUGUGGUUUAAUUCGAUGCAACGCGAAGAACCUUACCUGGUCUUGACAUCCACGGAAGUUUUCAGAGAUGAGAAUGUGCCUUCGGGAACCGUGAGACAGGUGCUGCAUGGCUGUCGUCAGCUCGUGUUGUGAAAUGUUGGGUUAAGUCCCGCAACGAGCGCAACCCUUAUCCUUUGUUGCCAGCGGUCCGGCCGGGAACUCAAAGGAGACUGCCAGUGAUAAACUGGAGGAAGGUGGGGAUGACGUCAAGUCAUCAUGGCCCUUACGACCAGGGCUACACACGUGCUACAAUGGCGCAUACAAAGAGAAGCGACCUCGCGAGAGCAAGCGGACCUCAUAAAGUGCGUCGUAGUCCGGAUUGGAGUCUGCAACUCGACUCCAUGAAGUCGGAAUCGCUAGUAAUCGUGGAUCAGAAUGCCACGGUGAAUACGUUCCCGGGCCUUGUACACACCGCCCGUCACACCAUGGGAGUGGGUUGCAAAAGAAGUAGGUAGCUUAACCUUCGGGAGGGCGCUUACCACUUUGUGAUUCAUGACUGGGGUGAAGUCGUAACAAGGUAACCGUAGGGGAACCUGCGGUUGGAUCACCUCCUUA